Molecule: ribosomal RNA, 257 nt
Filed under: uncultured bacterium
Lineage: Bacteria
Description: partial 16S ribosomal RNA
Rfam family: Bacterial small subunit ribosomal RNA
Source: RNAcentral
GACAGAGGUGCCAAGCGUUAGGCGGAAUCACUGGGCUUAAAGCGUGUGUAGGCGGAUGUCUAAGUACCUUGUGAAAUCCCAACGGCUCAACCGUGGAACUGCUUGGUAUACUGGAUGUCUUGAGCCAUCUAGGGGCUACCGGAACAAAUGGUGGAGCGGUGAAAUGCGUAGAUAUCAUUUGGAACGCCAAUGGUGAAAACAGGUAGCUGGGGGAUGAUGCUGACGCUGAGACACGAAAGCCAGGGGAGCGAACGGGG